UAGGGCCUUGAUCCUGAUAGGAUUAGUGUCAUAAGAGACACCAGAGAACUUUCUCUUUCUCCCCACCAUGUGAGGACACAGUGAGAAGUUGGCCAUCCGCAAGCCAGGAAAAGAACUCUCACCAGAACCUGACCAUGCUCACACCCUGAUGUCAGACUUCCAGGCUCCAGAAUUGCCUGCCCAUGAAAAACCCAAGAGGAUGAAACAGAGAACUCCCAGGCCUUGCCCUGUAGUCACAGAGAACGGGAGACUGCCUGACUGUGGGCAUCACAAGAAUUUCAAGGCCCAGAACUUGGAAGUUAGGCCUGAAGGGAAUGGCUCACAGCAUCUCAGAGUGAUCACCUUCUACGGUAGGCAAAGUUGUUUCUGAGCUGAUGUAAUUGGAACUAUAGUAGCAGGGAGUCUGUCAUUCUAUCCUCCUUUGACUUGGGGGAGAUCCUGCUCUGCAGAAUUGUCAAGAAAUGCGAACUUUGGGUGCACUCUGAAAGAUAUAAGUGCAGCAGUGGGAAGCCACAUUCACCCUCCUACAUCUGUAUCUUCUUUAUAUCCUUUGCUACUUGUUAGCUCAUCCAGAACUAUACCAAAGUAAUAUCAACUUGAAUGGAAGCCAAGACUUUCUUCUCUCCAGUCCCCAAACCCAGACCAAAUUCCGUGGUCUAGUUUUCAGCUUACAUUAUAUGAUCCAGCUCCAUUCUUACAGUAAGCACAUUCAAUAAAAGACGACAAAUAAUUAAAAUGCAAAAAAGAUGACGAUUUGUGCACAGUGAGAAUUAUUUUAAGAGAAGCCACAGGAAUAUGCUCCUGCCCUCAAAGAGCUGAUUUUCUAGUGAGGGGAACAAAAAGUAUAAAAACUAUUCCUGUCAAAAGCAAUGUCAAGGGGCCGGCCCGGUGGUG
RNAcentral lists this long non-coding RNA (894 nucleotides) under Equus caballus (horse). RNAcentral's name for it is "lncRNA (ENSECAG00000045380.1)". The record is from RNAcentral. Lineage: Eukaryota; Metazoa; Chordata; Mammalia; Perissodactyla; Equidae.